UUCAACUGGGAAUCACAUUCUCUAUUUAGAAAAUCAUAUUUUCAAAGAUCAUUCUUGAAUCUUAAACUGAACCAGAUCUGAACCAAAAGGAGUUGAGAGAAUUAUACCUGAUACGAAGAAGUAGUAUCUCCCAAUGGAGGUGUUCACGCCCAAGGAAGGAUCCAAAGACUGCUCCCACUGAAAAUGGCACAGUGCAGGAUGGAGCAGAAUCAGUAGGAUGGUACGUGAGCACAGCUUCCUUUCAAUCCUUUCUCAAAGRACUGAUGUCAAGAUCCAAUCUUGACUUCUCCCACAACUAGAGAUCGAACUGGCAAACAGGGCGGCAAGAGAGUAUUUGCANCCUUCGGGAUCAGAGUAAUGAUUAACAGGGACAGUCGGAGGCAUUCAUAUUUCAUAGUCAGAGGUGAAAUUCUUGGAUUUAGGAAAGAUGAACCACUGCGAAAUCAUUUGCCAUGGAUGUUUUCAUUAAUGAAGAACAAAAGUUGGGGGCACGAAGACGAUCAGAUACCAUCCUAGUCUCAACAAUAAACGAUGCCGACCCCGGAUCGUUGGAUGUUUCUUUUUGGACUCUACCAAGCUCCUUAUCAAAAAUAAAAGUCUUUGGAUUCUGGGGGGAGUAUGGUCGCAAGGCUGAAACUUAAAGGAAUUGAUGAAAGGGCACCACCUGGAGUGGAGCCUGCGGCCUAAUUCGACUCAACACAGGGAAACUUACCAGGUCUAGACAUAGUAAGGAUUGACAGACUAAGAGCACUUUCUUGAUUCUAUGGGUGGUGGUGCACGGCCGUUUUUAGUUGGUGGAAUGAUUUGUCUGGUUAAUUCCAUUAACGAACAAGAUCUUAGCCUGCUAACUAGCUAUGUGGAGGCACCCUCCGCGAUCAGCUUUUUAGAGGGACUAUGGUCGUCUAGGCAACGGAAGUUCGGGGCAAUAAUAGGUCUUUGAUGCCCUUAGAUGUUCUGGGCCAUGUAAUCAUUGAAAAUUUCAUCGUGAUGGGGGUAGAUCAUUGCAAUUGUUGGUCUUCAACGAGUAAUUCCUAGUAAGCGCAAGUCAUCAGCUUGCGUUGACUACGUCUCUACCCUUUGUACAUACCGCCCGCCACUCCUACCGAUUGAAUGGUGUGGUGAAGUGUUGGGAUCGUGGCGACGUGGGCGGUUCGCCGCUCGCGACAUUGCGACAAGUCCAUUCAACCUUAUCAUUUAGAGGAAGGAGAAGUCGUAACAAGGAUUCUGUAGGUGAACCAGCGGAAGG
RNAcentral lists this non-coding RNA (1246 nucleotides) under Nelumbo nucifera (sacred lotus). The record is from Rfam by way of RNAcentral. Lineage: Eukaryota; Viridiplantae; Streptophyta; Magnoliopsida; Proteales; Nelumbonaceae.